UGGCGCCAUUGGCUUCGUUAGACCUAUUUUAGGGGGGCUGUAUUCUUAAACCCCCCCUAAAUAAUUUAGUGUUAUAUUUUUUCUUUUAUUUUUUUACAAAUACAUGCCAACAUAUUCAUUAUAAAGUGGCCCUAAUAUGACAUUAAAUAAAUAAUCGUAUAACCUGUCAUUAUUCACUCAGUUUCCCCUCACUUCAUAGCGAAAGGCAGAGAACCCCUCUCGUGCGUCGGCAUCUAAUCCCGUUCCACUUGUUCACGUCACCUCCUGUUUGGAAUUUGCGCGCGUCUGACUGUAUAGUUUAACGAUCACUUUGUGCAAAACCAGCACAUCUUCUUUGCUUUUUUGGCUUCACUGUGUCACUGUGCCGUGACACUCUGCUGUCUGUGUCGAUCGGUGCUGCGGGCUGGAACAUUAGCAUUAGCAUUAGCAGCCUGACAUACACAGGUGUGGAUCUGUUAUGUUGCUGGAUGCUUCGGCAUAUAGACCAUCAGAAUGCCUCCACCAAGGAAAAGAUUCAACAAACUUGGCUAACGAACUGUAAGAUCUUCAUCAAACUAAAUGGGACGCCGGAGGAAGCAAAAGUCUUGGUGGUGAGAAAAAUUUAAGAUUUUUAUAAGUAUUGAGAUUGAUGCAGUACUUGGUAUCAAUGUAGCUUUGUGACUUUUACAUCAUCUCAACGCGACCCACACAAAGAACACAGACCACACCAAGUAUUGAUAUGGACAUGUUACAGAAGACCCUACAACAUCAACAAAAAGAACUGGAAAUGUAAAUGUUUAGAAAGAAGUUGAUGAAUCCAGAUGGAUCUCUAUUACAAUCCCCAGAGAGAGUGACGCUUGGCUGGCAUUGUGGUACGGGUUUGUUCUCUCAAGAGAGCAGUCGGAUAUGGACACAGCGUGAAGGAGCCUUUUGGCCAUGGAGACCAGCUGCUGGGUCCUUGCCACACCAAUGUCCGUUUGGAGAGAUUGGAGGAGAUGUGGAUGAAGAGACAGGGCUGCGGAGCUUGCUCUGAGUUCCGGGACGGACAAGCUUCGCAGUGUCUUGGCUGAAUGAGCAGGUAUUGGACACUUCGGUCUCCUUAGACGCAUCCAUGCGUCUCACUCGUCCAUGCGGACUGGACACUGGCCGAGAGUUGGUGGAGUCGACUCUCUUGGUUGCUUUGUUGGGUCUGCUCCUGUCCCUGGCCGUGCUCCCUCCACCCCAGCAGAUGAUGGCGUGGAAGACCGCAGAGGCCACCUUAGUGUGUAUCUUUUUUUGUUGUUGUUUUACUUUUAUUUGGCUGGUUGCAGUUGCAUCAGCUCUGCUCUUUUAAUGUCCUUUUUGUUCUUUGAUGUUUGAUGUUUCCCUCUUACACACGUUUUUGUGUGCUAUGGCUAAAAGGUUUUUUUCUUCGUCCUUGGCCUCCGUCUUGACGCCCUCUCCAAAGGCCCAGGCAUGGACUGAAUUGUAUUUUCUCACGCACCGCCCUUCUUCCCUGUUUCUCACCAUUUUUGUAAGGGGCGCCGGAAGUUGGCAGACCCAUCAGCGAUCCUAUUCUGUCUCCCAGUAAUGUUUGUCUGCUCUUUAAUGGGAUUGUACUGAAAAUAUUAAUUUCCCCUCAGGG
Molecule: long non-coding RNA, 1603 nt
Organism: Nerophis ophidion (straightnose pipefish)
Lineage: Eukaryota; Metazoa; Chordata; Actinopteri; Syngnathiformes; Syngnathidae
Exons: 3
Source: RefSeq, a predicted model, not a curated record